Molecule: ribosomal RNA, 269 nt
Filed under: uncultured prokaryote
Description: partial 16S ribosomal RNA
Rfam family: Bacterial small subunit ribosomal RNA
Source: RNAcentral
UACGUAGGUGGCAAGCGUUAUCCGGAAUUACUGGGUGUAAAGGGCGCGCAGGCGGCCCUGCAAGUCGGAUGUAAAAGAUCAAGGCUCAACCUUGACAGGCCAUUCGAAACUGUGGGACUUGAGUGUCAGAGGGGAAAGUGGAAUUCCUAGUGGAGCGGUAAAAUGCGCAGAUAUUAGGAGGAACACCGGUGGCGAAGGCGACUUUCUGGCUGACAACUGACGCUGAGGCGCGAAAGCGUGGGGAGCAAACAGGAUUAGAUACCCUGGUA